Molecule: ribosomal RNA, 191 nt
Filed under: uncultured bacterium
Lineage: Bacteria
Description: partial 16S ribosomal RNA
Rfam family: Bacterial small subunit ribosomal RNA
Source: RNAcentral
UACGGGAGGCAGCAGUGGGGAAUAUUGCACAAUGGGCGCAAGCCUGAUGCAGCGACGCCGCGUGGAGGAUGAAGGCUUUCGAGUUGUAAACUCCUGUUAAGUGGGAAGAAAGGCCUUGGGUUAAUACCUCAAGGAGAUGACGGUACCACUAAAGAAAGCACCGGCAAACUUCGUGCCAGCAGCCGCGGUAA